GACUACUCGGUCCAGGUUAAAGCUUGUCUUCUACCACACGGUACUAUAAACGGUGUUUUCAAAUCUACUGAUCUGUAUGGAUAAACUUUUUUGGCAUUUCUACAUCAAAUGACAAUUUUCAAUAUUCGAGGUUUUUAUCCCUUCGAAGGAGUGUUCUUUUUUUCUCUUUGCAAAUGCAGUGUGAAGUUCAUUUUGUGCUGUUAAGCCAAUUCUGUUUAAGGGUUGAUGACUUGCUUAACUAGCAAAGAGUUCAUAAUGGCAGACCAGACAUGACAGGAUCAUCAAGACAGAUUCAUGCCUUUCCAUGGCAAGAUAUUUACAUUUUUCAUGAGAAAAGCAGUGCUUAAUAUUACAUGUAAAUUUCUUUAUUCUUUAAUUGUUCUUGUGAAACUGCACAAGAGAUUUUCCACAGGGAUAACCAAUUUCAUGAGUUCGAGUUUGAAGUGGUUUGAUCUGUAAUAUAGCUUGUCAGUUAAUCCUGACUUAUUCUUUCUUAUACUCUAGAAAAAGUAUUGCCAUUGGCAAAAUGCAGUCGAUGAGAAGGAUUUUGUGUUUGUUCAAAGUAGUCGGUCAGAAGGAAUAUGCGUUUGAAUAUAGCUACUAGCAGUCUUGUUCAAGUUCUCAUCCUCAGAUUAGAGCACGUGCUGCUGAAGAGAUGCCCUCUCAUCAAUUGAUGGAUAAACUUUACAUGCGAAAAUUUGCUUGCUGCCGCAUCAUUUUACAGAAAUUAUAAAAAAACUUGGUUUUAGCAGUUACUGAGCUUUAAUUGUCAGGGUAAAGAAAAUGACACUGCAGUGUACUCGCAGAGAACCAUGGUGUAAAAUGUGCAGGAGAUCCGACUGUGGCACUUGCUAAUGCAUUUGCUCAGUUGUGUUAAUGAUACAGAGGACACAUUUGCACUCGGCACACGUAGCAUGCCUUUGCCUUGCUGCGCCUCCUCUCCUUUUUUUUUUCCAAGGUGCUUGCACAAAUACAGCGCACCACAUGCUGUUGUAAUCAGAUAAUAAAUUGCCAUCUUGAGAAGCAGCUUUUACGCAGCCAAAGAGGGCUGCAUAGCAGACAAGAAAAUAAGAAAGCUGCAUGGUUUGUCCGAUUUUAAAAAUGUGCUUUGCAUUGCUUGAUUAGUGGAUAAGAUUUGGAAGCUUAAAUCAGCUGCUUUCAUUCGAUCCCAGCUUGUGUCAAACGCUGAUCAUGCAACGCAGUUGUCACGGCACACUGUAUUAUUUCUCUCAUGGUUGCAGCCUCCAGCUAGCACGCAUUGGUUUUCCUAUGUUUUGUCGAAUUCGAGGAUGAUUUCUCGGCACGCAUGUAAUGGUUUCAGGUUAAGCUCGUUUGAUGGUGAAUUAGAGAGGCCAAGAACACCUUUGUUCUCGGGUGACGGUGCGGAUACGGCAAAGGAAAUGAAAAAUUUCCUCUUAGUGUCCCGUGAUCGAUGGGUUGUUUAGGUUGUGAAGCAAGGAAGUUCCUAAGAGCUGCCUCCAUGUUCCUAAGACCAUAGCUGCAAAACUGAAUGUAGUUGCAGGUUUAGUUUCUGGUUAUAGUGCAUUCCUGGUCCCAUUUAUUUUGUCUUUUAAGUGCUCUUUUCUUUUUCAAAUAAUCAUUGUGUCGUGAUAUAUGCAUGAUAUAUGCAUGCGGAAAAUCUAGCAAAAGCCUAGGUAUUCCUGAUGGUCCAGUUGCUACUAUAAUACCGUGAACAGACUGUGGAAUGGAGAUAGCGGGAGCUUCAUGUGAAAACUUGGUGCGGAUUUCGAGCGAGACCAUUUAUCCAAAGUGAUCAUGAUGAGCGAAUAUCCACAUGUAAGUAUCUGCAGUGGAAGCUGAAGGAGACGACAAAGAUUGAUGUACACUGAUUUGCUGAAGGCGAUGUACAGCACAAGCAUCUGUAGUUGGAGGUGAAACAAACAAGGGGCGAACGGGACGACUGUCGUUGGUGACACAGCGGUGAAAAAAACGCACAAGAUCUAGCAGCUGGUGCGAAGUAAUGCCAAGUGACGCGAUCUGUACAAGUGGCAAAACAGCCGUUUCGCCUCAUCAAAAGGGAAACACUGCUAUCACAUCAGUUGGCUAUCCUGUAUAUCUUACAAUGUGCAGAGAACGUAGUUUAGGCAAGGUAAUACAUAGUAUGGAAUUUUCCCUUGUUUGGUUUGUGUGUGUUUGCAUUAGUUUAAGUGACAGAAACACAAUCUGGUGGAUUAGUUACAUUCAGUACUUUGUAGUUUCAUUUUGCUUUUGCUGAAAGUAAUAAAAAAAUAAUGUUAGUACUUGUUUACAGUGCCCCGGUAAAGGUAAACAAUCUUUUUAUUAAUCCACAGAAGUGUGGCUGUGUUGUCCUUCACCAGCAAAUGUGGUGCCAUUCGAACCUCUCUAAAUGUCUUUUUUUUUCUAGCGUAGGUUUUUUGUUUUCUAUUAGAUAAAUUUCUUUCAUUCAUAUUCAUAUUUUUCAUUUUGUAUUCUGGGCGUGUUCUAAUAUCAUUUAAGGGCUUCAUUCUGGUGCAUUUUGGUGCGGAAAAAGUGUCAUUUUAGUUUUAUAGCCGAGUGUGUGAUGCAGUCGUAAAUAGAAGGAGUAGUUUUCAUAUAUUUAGGUAUAUAAUGUCAAAAUUUCAUGCCACAUUCAACCUCUAUGUAUUGCCAGCAGGAAUUUGUAUGUAUAGAGCGAUAGGAAAUUGUGUGAGACAUGUACUGCAGUGUUGCCCAAACAGUAAUAUGUGGGUUGAGUUGUCCAAGGUUAUCAUGUAUUUGGCCUACAAGUGUGGCUGAUUACCAGGUUUAGCACUAUAGUUCAGUUGUGCAAUGCCUCAUUUGCAUCGCUUUCGGUGCUCUCUGUGACUUUGCAGGUUCCUCAGCGUUGGGGUCCGUGGAGCAGUGCGAGUCGCUCGUGUGCCACCUCUGUCCGCAGACAUUCGCUCAGAAAGCCCACCUGGAACAGCAUGUGCGCAGCCACACAGGAGAGCGUCGCUACCAGUGCCAUCUGUGCCUGGAGACAUUCACUAGUAGCUACAACCGUACGCGCCAUCUGCGCAGCCACACAGGAGAGCGUCCCUACAAGUGCCACCUUUGCCGAAGCACAUUCACCCAGAGUGCCCACCUGAAACAGCAUCUGCAGGUCCACACAGGAGAGCGUCCCUUUUCCUGCGUGCACUGCAGUGCAACCUUUUUGCGGAAGGAGAAACUCUUGGCCCACAUGUCCUGUCAUGGAAGGAAGAAGACCUAAAGGUGCCGCCAGUGUUCUUGCAGCUUGAAAACCCUGUCUGAGGAAUUUGGAAACUUCAAAGAGGUGCAAGUUUGUGCCUACUAAGCCUCCGCAUCUGCAUGCUUAUCUUCAGGGAAGCCGACAGCCAAGACCACAGCCAAAGCAGCAGCCAGAGUUGUAAUAUCGAGCAGGGCACAUCCCGCUUGAACACUUGAUUUCUCGUCGCAGCCUGCUGAUCAGGAGCCUGCACAGUUGAAGCCAUGGUUGCCACCACAGUUCCCUCUUUCAAUGUUGCCAAAAAUUUAGCAUUUGUAUUAUGUAUUGUUGAGAGAUAAUGCGAGCGCGUCUGGGCAUUGUGCACUAUUUACUCUUUGAAACACAUUCUGAAAUCUAUGUUACCCAGUGAGAUUUAUAUUGGGGUACAUUUUCUUCAAAUAAAUGCGUAGUCUAGAUGCGAGCCAACAGAUUAAAUUGGGCAAGUUCAUUGUUUGCCGCUGAAGUAAGCGCGGUACAGAGUGACAGGUUCAUAAUGCCCUUUCUGCAUUCCAUUUUCUCUUCUCUUGUUGUGCUACGUUUUAUUUGUGUGUUUAUUUAUAUUGAUACGUAUGAUGGGGGCUAUGGGAAGAUUGUGGAAAUUGUCCCAUGUAUCACAUGUCUUGUGCUCUGUGCUUAUUCUGUCCACAAAACCUGUGUCUGGCCCUUAUAUAUGGGCCAUUUAUUACUAAGGGUGACGCCUGAUAUGAGUGCAUGUACUCUCAGCUUAAAUUUUGAAUCAAGCCUUCAACACAUCCUUUUUUUAAGGGUAUUUGCCUAAUGUGCCUUCUAAACCUCUUUUUCCUCUUGAGUACAAUGAAUGUUGAAGUUAUAUAUGCUUUAAUACUAUCGACAUGUUUCUCCUAAGUUACCUUAUAGAUUUGCGUUGUCUUUAUACAGUCUCAUUAGGACCGUGACCUAAGGUAUAUGUGUACGUGGUGCAUGCUGUCAGCGCGUAUUGAAUGUAGCUAGCCCUAUGAGAUAAUGAGCUUCUUUUGACUUCUUUUUCUGGGCUGCAAAAGCCUAACGCUAUAGUUGUUCUUGCGAAGAAAUUUUGUGGUUGUCUCCUAGAUCAUAAUUCUUUUACUAGUGGCUCAUUAGCAGCAAAUAGCAGGUGGUGUAAGGAUGCUUUGCUCUCUGUGGUCUCAUAUGUGUUUAGCAGAAGUUGGAAUCUGAAGCCAACAUUAGGGUGACUACACCAAAUACUAAUCUUCCUGAAGUGACACAUGUGCAAGAAACAGUGAAAUAUGCAUGUUCUUUCUAAUUUCAGUAGUUGUAAUUUAAAGUGCACUUUUCUUUAAUUAGUUACCAUAAGGUUACCUGGAAUAGUGGUUAUUUAGGAACAAUAAAAAGGUAGUAACAUGAGGGUGAUCAAUGGUAGAUAUGGACUGAUAAGUGUUUAUUUUCAGUGUCCUUUAAUAUUGCGGUUAUCAAUACAUGAUUUGCUGGCAUGUUACCAAUGCAUAGUUUUACUCUUGUUUUCUUGAAUCUUAUGGUGUUCAGAGAAAGCGAUGCAAUUAGCCCGAAGAAUUGAUGCUGCUGCACAAAGAAUAUGUGUUUCUGGACCCAAGGAAAGACUGCAUGUUAUCUGGUUUCAAGUACACCACCUUUUUGCAUUGUACAUUAUGUCUCAGUUGCGAACGUUGGUCCCUGAACUGCAUUUGUUUUCACCUUGCACUUUACUGGUAUUCAAUAAAUGUCAAUACUGUGUUACGGCA
Dermacentor silvarum is the source of this 4941-nucleotide long non-coding RNA. RefSeq lists it as uncharacterized. Lineage: Eukaryota; Metazoa; Arthropoda; Arachnida; Ixodida; Ixodidae. The transcript is spliced from 2 exons. The record is from RefSeq and is a predicted model, not a curated record.